UACGUAGGGGGCAAGCGUUGUCCGGAAUUAUUGGGCGUAAAGAGCGUGUAGGCGGUCCGGUAAGUCAGCUGUGAAAGUCAAGGGCUCAACCCUUGAAAGCCGGUUGAUACUGUCGGGCUAGAGUCCGGAAGAGGCGAGUGGAAUUCCCGGUGUAGCGGUGAAAUGCGCAGAUAUCGGGAGGAACACCCGUGGCUAAGGCGGCUCUCUAGUACGGUACUGACGCUGAGACGCGAAAGCGUGGGGAGCAAACGGG
RNAcentral lists this ribosomal RNA (253 nucleotides) under uncultured bacterium. RNAcentral's name for it is "partial 16S ribosomal RNA". It matches the Rfam family "Bacterial small subunit ribosomal RNA", at positions 524 to 776 of the family's 1533-position model. The record is from RNAcentral.